AUACGUAGGGAGCGAGCGUUGUCCGGAAUUACUGGGUGUAAAGGGAGCGUAGGCGGGAGUGCAAGUCAGAUGUGAAAUACAUGGGCUCAACCCAUGGGCUGCAUUUGAAACUGCAUUUCUUGAGUGAAGUAGAGGUAAGCGGAAUUCCUGGUGUAGCGGUGAAAUGCGUAGAGAUUGGGAGGAUCACCAGUGGCGAAGGCGACUUACUGGACUGUAACUGACGCUGAGGCGCGAAAGUGUGGGGAGCAAACAGGAUUAGAUACCCUGGUAGUCCACACUGUAAACGAUGAAUACUAGGUGUGGGGGGACUGACCCCCUCCGUGCCGCAGUUAACACAAUAAGUAUUCCACCUGGGGAGUACGAUCGCAAGAUUGAAACUCAAAGGAAUUGACGGGG
Molecule: ribosomal RNA, 396 nt
Filed under: uncultured bacterium
Lineage: Bacteria
Description: partial 16S ribosomal RNA
Rfam family: Bacterial small subunit ribosomal RNA
Source: RNAcentral